AUACGGAGGGUGCAAGCGUUAAUCGGAAUUACUGGGCGUAAAGCGCGCGUCGGCGGUUAUUUAAGUCAGAUGUGAAAUCCCUGGGCUCAACCUAGGAACUGCAUCUGAUACUGGGUAACUAGAGUUUUGGAGAGGUAAGUGGAAUUUCCGGUGUAGCGGUGAAAUGCAUAGAGAUCGGAAGGAACACCAGUGGCGAAGGCGACUUACUGGCCAAAAACUGACGCUGAGGUGCGAAAGCGUGGGUAGCAAACAGUAUUAGAAACCCCAGUAGUCC
RNAcentral lists this ribosomal RNA (274 nucleotides) under uncultured bacterium. Its description in RNAcentral is "partial 16S ribosomal RNA". It matches the Rfam family "Bacterial small subunit ribosomal RNA", at positions 523 to 796 of the family's 1533-position model. The record is from RNAcentral.